RNAcentral lists this ribosomal RNA (693 nucleotides) under uncultured archaeon. Its description in RNAcentral is "bacterial SSU rRNA". It matches the Rfam family "Archaeal small subunit ribosomal RNA", at positions 54 to 751 of the family's 1478-position model. The record is from RNAcentral.
CGAGUCAUUGUAGCAAUACAAGGCGGACGGCUCAGUAACACGUAGCCAACCUCACCUACGGACGUGGAUAACCUCGGGAAACUGAGAAUAAACCACGAUAGAUCAUAGUGCCUGGAAUGGCCUAUGGUCCAAACAGUUUACUGCCAUGGGAUGGGACUGCGGCCUAUCAGCUUGUUGGUGAGGUAAUGGCCCACCAAGGCGAUUACAGGUACGGGCUCUGAGAGGAGAAGCCCGGAGAUGGGUACUGAGACACGGACCCAGGCCCUAUGGGGCGCAGCAGGCGAGAAACCUUAGCAAUGUGCGAAAGCACGACUGGGUCAGUCCGAGUGAUUCCUGAUAAAGGAGUCUUUUGCUUGUCCUAAAAGCACAGGGUGAAUAAGGGGGUGGGCAAGUGCUGGUGUCAGCCGCCGCGGUAAUACCAGCACCUCGAGUGGUCAGGACGUUUAUUGGGCCUAAAGCAUCCGUAGCCGGCUUUGCAAGUCUUCGGUUAAAUCCACCUGCUCAACAGAUGGGCUGCUGGAGAUACUACAACGCUAGGGAGUGGGAGAGGCAGACGGUAUUCAGUGGGUAGGGGUAAAAUCCUCUGAUCCAUUGAGGACCACCAGUGGCGAAGGCGGUCUGCCAGAACACGUUCGACGGUGAGGGAUGAAAGCUGGGGGAGCAAACCGGAUUAGAUACCCGGGUAGUCCCAGC